AACAAAAACAUGUCCUUUAGAUUAGAAUUUAAGGUCUAACCUGCCCACUGAGGAAUUAAAUGGCCGCAGUAUUUUGACUGUGCAAAGGUAGCAUAAUCAUUAGUUUUUUAAUUGAAAGCUAGAAUGAAUGGUUGGACGAGAUAUAAUCUGUCUUUAAAUUAUAAUUAGAAUUUAAUUUUUAAGUUAAAAAGCUUAAAUGAUUUUAAAAGACGAGAAGACCCUAUAGAUCUUUAUAUAUUUAUUUAUAUAGUUUUUAUGGAUAAAUAAUUUUUAUAUAGGUUUUUAUAUUUUAUUGGGGUAAUAGAAAGAUUUAUUAAAUUCUUUUUUUAUUUCACAUUGAUAAAUGAAUUUUAUGAUCCGUUAUUAUUGAUUAGAAGAUUAAGUUACCUUAGGGAUAACAGCGUAAUUUUUUUAAAGAGUUCAUAUCGAUAAAAAAGUUUGCGACCUCGAUGUUG
This 455-nucleotide ribosomal RNA is filed under the name Uvarus binaghii. Its description in RNAcentral is "partial 16S ribosomal RNA". It matches the Rfam family "Bacterial large subunit ribosomal RNA", at positions 1806 to 2534 of the family's 2925-position model. The record is from RNAcentral. Lineage: Eukaryota; Metazoa; Arthropoda; Insecta; Coleoptera; Dytiscidae.